This 537-nucleotide ribosomal RNA is filed under the name Bifidobacterium catenulatum. Its description in RNAcentral is "bacterial SSU rRNA". It matches the Rfam family "Bacterial small subunit ribosomal RNA", at positions 159 to 707 of the family's 1533-position model. Lineage: Bacteria; Bacillati; Actinomycetota; Actinomycetes; Bifidobacteriales; Bifidobacteriaceae. The record is from RNAcentral.
GGUGGUAAUGCCGGAUGCUCCGACUCCUCGCAUGGGGUGUCGGGAAAGAUUUCAUCGGUAUGGGAUGGGGUCGCGUCCUAUCAGGUAGUCGGCGGGGUAACGGCCCACCGAGCCUACGACGGGUAGCCGGCCUGAGAGGGCGACCGGCCACAUUGGGACUGAGAUACGGCCCAGACUCCUACGGGAGGCAGCAGUGGGGAAUAUUGCACAAUGGGCGCAAGCCUGAUGCAGCGACGCCGCGUGCGGGAUGACGGCCUUCGGGUUGUAAACCGCUUUUGAUCGGGAGCAAGCCUUCGGGUGAGUGUACCUUUCGAAUAAGCACCGGCUAACUACGUGCCAGCAGCCGCGGUAAUACGUAGGGUGCAAGCGUUAUCCGGAAUUAUUGGGCGUAAAGGGCUCGUAGGCGGUUCGUCGCGUCCGGUGUGAAAGUCCAUCGCUUAACGGUGGAUCUGCGCCGGGUACGGGCGGGCUGGAGUGCGGUAGGGGAGACUGGAAUUCCCGGUGUAACGGUGGAAUGUGUAGAUAUCGGAAAAGAAC